Molecule: transfer RNA, 89 nt
Filed under: Anaerofustis stercorihominis DSM 17244
Lineage: Bacteria; Bacillati; Bacillota; Clostridia; Eubacteriales; Eubacteriaceae
Rfam family: tRNA
About the family: Transfer RNA (tRNA) molecules are approximately 80 nucleotides in length. Their secondary structure includes four short double-helical elements and three loops (D, anti-codon, and T loops).
Source: Rfam by way of RNAcentral
GGAGAAGUACUCAAGUUGGCCGAAGAGGUGCCCCUGCUAAGGGUAUAGGUCGUGUAAGCGGCGCGAGGGUUCAAAUCCCUCCUUCUCCG